UAGGGAAUCUCCGGCAAUGGACGGAAGUCUGACCGAGCAACGCCGCGUGAGUGAAGAAGGUUUUCGGAUCGUAAAGCUCUGUGUUAGAGAAGAACGUUGGUAGGAGUGGAAAAUCUACCAAGUGACGGUAACUAACCAGAAAGGGACGGCUAACUACGUGCCAGCAGCCGCGGUAAUACGUAGGUCCCGAGCGUUGUCCGGAUUUAUUGGGCGUAAAGCGAGCGCAGGCGGUUCUUUAAGUCUGAAGUUAAAGGCAGUGGCUUAACCAUUGUACGCUUUGGAAACUGGAGGACUUGAGUGCAGAAGGGGAGAGUGGAAUUCCAUGUGUAGCGAUGAAAUGCGUAGAUAUAUGGAGGACCACCGGUGGCGAAAGCGGCUCUCUGGUCUGUAACUGACGCUGAGGCUCGAAAGCGUAGGGAGCAAACAGG
RNAcentral lists this ribosomal RNA (428 nucleotides) under Bacillota bacterium. RNAcentral's name for it is "Firmicutes bacterium partial 16S ribosomal RNA". It matches the Rfam family "Bacterial small subunit ribosomal RNA", at positions 355 to 776 of the family's 1533-position model. Lineage: Bacteria; Bacillati; Bacillota. The record is from RNAcentral.